CAGACUGGGGCCGCCGGGAGAACGAAAAAGUGAGAAAGAGGAGCGGAGUCAGGGGGAAAAAAAAGAAAAGAAAAAGAAAAAAAGAGGCAGAGAGAUGGCGCGACCCUAGCGUAGGGACACAGAAGGGUCCGGGAAGGGAGACCCAAAGAAAGUCAGGGACCCAGAGGCAGAGAAGGGGCCAAAAUAAACAAGGGAGAUACAGAGAAAGACGGACAGAGAGAGGCAGAAAUAAAGGCGAACGAAAAGAAUGGGGAAACGAGGGGAAAGAGAAGUUAAAGAAGAAAGGAGGGCGGGGGGGGGGAGAUUAAGAAGAUGGGGACAAAAGAAUAAAAUAAAAGAAACUCAAAAGAGCAAACGCUUUUAUCUACAAAAACUCCCCUGCGAGAGGCUCGGCAGUGAGAACGCGCCCCGCGGCGGCCAGGAAUUUCGCGCCAGGGCCGCAGACCCCAGAGGCCCCGGUGGGCAGCGCAGCCUUCGCACUCGGGGCUCUAGACUGGGUCGCGUGCAGAAUCGGACUCCAAGUUGAAGUUCCAGGGCUCUGGGCACGCAGGAGCAUCUGCUCCCGGAAGGCAUGGUGUUUGUGUGUGGGGACGUCACCCCAGAUCCGUGGCGGAGGAGGGGAUGGGGAGAUGAAAAGGCACAAGGCUCUCUUGGGCGCGCGUGGGGCGCCUAGGACUUCCUGCCCUGGUGCGAAAGGAGACGGGGACGCGGGGCGGGCUGGCUUCGGUCGCUUAGCUCAGACCCCUGGGCGUCCCCGCAGCUAGGACCCCCGGGGCCCGUUCUUGGGCAGAGCCUCGGAGAACUCGCCACCCCCGCCCCCUCUCGCAGAGCCCUCGCUCCCAGGCCCGCGCACCCUGCUCUGCUUGGAGAAAAAAAGUAACGUGGCGAGAACCGCGCCCCGGCGCCAGUGGAGGGCGCAUUUCCCGAACCGCCUCCCCGCGGCGACCGAAAGGCGCCGCGCAGAUUCCUCUCGCUCUGGGGGCCAGGCCCCGCACUGAUCCUCCCGGGGCAGAGAGUGGGGAGGGGGAGAGGAAAGAAGAGGAGAAGAAGUGGGGAAGGGUGGGGAGAGGUGCAGAAGAGAAGCAGCGAGGGAUGAAAAGUGGAAAUGUGGACCGGAGGGAAAGGAAGGAGCAAGGAGGUUAGGGGGCGUCUCCCCUCCGGUCUGACGAGGUCACUGCACGGACAAAAGGCGCUCCCUCCCCGGUCUCACUCAUUGCGAGUGAGACCUGUGCUAUGGCUCCCCCGGGACAUCGGGCUAGAGACUGAGACCCCGACAGGGCCGCUGGUGGCCUCUGUGCCUGUGGGACCCAGGGUGAGGCGAGGAAGGCUUCGCCCCUGGAGUGACUAGCGCCCGGAAAUUUUCCAACCCCUGGGAUUUCCGGGUAGAUGGGGUCCAGUCCAGUCCACUCCUCCUCCCCGCUCCUGCCCCUUUCUCCUGCCUUCUCUGGCAGGUCCGGUGCAGCUAUAGAGCUGGACUAGAGAGGAGUUGGAUGAAAAGACCUUCAGGAAGAAGAUUGACAGUUUAGUCCAUUCCUACUUUUGUGUGGAGACAGGACAAAACCUAGAUCAGAAUCCUUUGGGCUAGGGAAGUCGGGAGGCAGUGACCAAGCAAAACCAGCUCAGAGGGCAUCAGUCAGUUGGUCAGUCCACUUUGGUCUGCUCAGUGAUGGACGCCAGGACUACAGAGGUAAAUUGGACACAGCCCCCAUUUUCAAGGAGGACAUUAUCUGGUGGCAAAGAGAGAGCUUUGCCAAGAAACUCCAGAAAGUGUCGAGAUGAGGGGCAGAAGGGUGACUAAGACACAGAGGAUGUCAGAGAAUGCCUCAUAAAGGGGAUGGGGUCUUGCAAGAUGAUUAGGUGUCUACUAGAUGUAGGUCAUAGCUGGUUGGAAUAUUCCCAAGCAGAAAGGGAUCGGGGCAAAGGCACGGAGAGAAGGCAAAAACCCACCUAGCUGGGGCCUGGCGAAGGGUUCUGGGAGGCCAAUACUGGGGUCAAAGGUAAGGCUAGGGAAAUAAGACUGGGAGGUAGAGGGGGUCUAGAUCAAGGAACACUUUUGCUAAGGAGUUUUUUUUUUCUUUCUCUCCUUUAGGCCAUGGGAUGCCAUUGAAGGAUUUUAAGCAGGGAAGGAAAAAGAUCUGAUUUGGGAGGAAAGACCACUGUGCAGGUGUGGGUGGGAGGUAGACAGGGAGCGGCAGAGACUGGACAAAUAGUCUUCUCAGCAAAAGAAGAUGGAAGGCCUCAAAACAAAAUAGUCUGAGGGAGACAGAGAAGAGAGGUGAGAAAUGGAAGCAGAGUGGUGAGUACUUGGGCACAGAUUGUGUGUGUGUGUGUGUGUGUGUGUGUGUGUGUGUGUGUGUUGUGGGGUGAGAUGAUAAAUUAAGAUCUGUCUAAGUCUCUGGAUAACUUCAGUCUCAACUCUGACCCCUCCCCUCACUCACCAUCCCCUUCCUCUCAUAAAGCCUCCCCCCCCCGUAAUUGUUACAGAAGCCAAAAUCCAGGCAUCUUGUCUGGAGGCAACACUUGUCUCCUCAUCUCAUGACCUUACCAGGCAGCCUCAUAGAACAAGGUGCCCUAAAGAAGAAGGUAACUUCUCACUAACCCCAAGACAGAGAGGGUGGCAUCCAAGAGUGAAAAAUGGGGCCAGGCAGUCCUGAGGUUGAUCUCCUCUUUCUCAGUUCUAAAACAGGCCAGUUAUGUGACCUUGAACUCAUUGUGCCUAUGUGUCCACAUCUGUAAAAGGGGAGUGAGGGUAUUUGCCUUGUGGAAUUGUUGGGUGGUAUUAAAUAAGGGGUGUAUAUUAAGCCCUAACAAUAAUGUCUGACCACAUUAGGUCAUUCCCCAUGCCCAUCCCAGACCUAGACCUCUGCAGGCACUGACUGAGCAUUUUCUCCUGCGCAGGCAUGAAGUGUCAGGGGGUACAAAGAGCAGUGAGAUAGAGACACUCCGGAGAAGAUGUCAAUCCAGAGGGAAGGCCAGGUGCCCCACUAGAGCAAAGUUAAUAAUGACAGUAAAAACAACUAACAUGCCUGAAGGCUUACGGUAUGUCAGGCAUCAUUUUAAAUGCUUUACACAUAUUAAUUCCAUUCAUCCACAUCCAUUAUUAUGAACCCCACUUUAACGAUGUGGAAACGGAG
RNAcentral lists this long non-coding RNA (3134 nucleotides) under Lynx pardinus (Iberian lynx). The record is from RNAcentral. Lineage: Eukaryota; Metazoa; Chordata; Mammalia; Carnivora; Felidae.